UGCAUUGAGUGCAGUUGGUGCAAAGAUGUGCGUCUGCUCUACACAGGAAAAAAAGAAAAAGAAAAAAAUUCCAUCUGUCUGUAUUUGAAAUCAGCUCGCCAGCCUGUAGUUGGUCGAACCCCACCCAGAUGGUGCUGCGCAAAUGUAUGUUAAAAGAUAUCUUAUAUUAGUGUUGUGGGUGUCCAAUUUUUUUUGAAUGCCAUUUAGCCAAUGUGCCCAACCUGCUGCACAGAGAAAUCGUGACAAAAUAAAGAUAUGCUGAAGAGUUUCUAUUUCAAGGGCCAGAUCCUGCAAACAGUUCUGGAUGUCUUCCACUGAUCUGCUGAUGGAAGGAGCUGAAGAGCAGGCUAGUAAGGACAGUGCCAUUGUGGAGAGCAACUGUGUCGUUUUAACAACCUGGCCUAGUCUCUGCAGUGACUGAAGGAGCCAAAGUUCUGAGAUUGCUCAUGAACCUGGGUUUCUGGUGUGAAAGAAUCUUGCUCAUGUUUAUUACCUUGUGGAAACUUAAAAUGUAAUAUCCCAAGGGGUGUACACAAGGGGGGACAAGCAGGGGCACGCCCCCUACCCCCCGUAAUCAGCAGAGGAGUUCUGUGCCCACACUGCAACCAAGUAGUUGUGGAUGCAUUUAUUCGGCUGGCUCCACGGCGCAUGAAUUUUCAUUGAAACGGGCAAAUAACUCAAGCUAUGAUUGUUCUGUGUUAACAGUGGGCAUACAACAAUCAUUACCAUACCAGAGCCAACUUUUGCCCCAGCUACCACAUACUGUCAUGGCCUACAUUUGUCAACUGGCGUUUGCUUUGCACAUGAAAACGCAUGUUGAAGUCUCUAAUGAGCUGCUGAUGGGACAAAAAUAUCUAAUUUAUAAAUCGGAAGUGAGGAACAAAGGAAUGAACUGA
This 896-nucleotide long non-coding RNA is filed under the name Chrysemys picta bellii (western painted turtle). RNAcentral's name for it is "lncRNA (ENSCPBG00000014137.1)". Lineage: Eukaryota; Metazoa; Chordata; Testudines; Emydidae. The record is from RNAcentral.